Molecule: ribosomal RNA, 465 nt
Filed under: Vreelandella stevensii
Lineage: Bacteria; Pseudomonadati; Pseudomonadota; Gammaproteobacteria; Oceanospirillales; Halomonadaceae
Description: partial 16S ribosomal RNA
Rfam family: Bacterial small subunit ribosomal RNA
Source: RNAcentral
CCUACGGGUGGCUGCAGUGGGGAAUAUUGGACAAUGGGCGAAAGCCUGAUCCAGCCAUGCCGCGUGUGUGAAGAAGGCCUUCGGGUUGUAAAGCACUUUCAGUGGGGAAGAAAGCCUUGGGGCUAAUACCCUCGAGGAAGGACAUCACCCACAGAAGAAGCACCGGCUAACUCCGUGCCAGCAGCCGCGGUAAUACGGAGGGUGCGAGCGUUAAUCGGAAUUACUGGGCGUAAAGCGCGCGUAGGCGGUCUGAUAAGCCGGUUGGGAAAGCCCCGGGCUCAACCUGGGAACGGCAUCCGGAACUGUCAGGCUAGAGUGCAGGAGAGGAAGGUAGAAUUCCCGGUGUAGCAGUGAAAUGCGUAGAGAUCGGGAGGAAUACCAGUGGCGAAGGCGGCCUUCUGGACUGACACUGACGCUGAGGUGCGAAAGCGUGGGUAGCAAACAGGAUUAGAUACCCCAGUAGUC